Molecule: ribosomal RNA, 1345 nt
Filed under: uncultured bacterium
Lineage: Bacteria
Description: bacterial SSU rRNA
Rfam family: Bacterial small subunit ribosomal RNA
Source: RNAcentral
GAUGAACGCUAGCGGGAGGCCUAACACAUGCAAGCCGAGCGGUAUUGUUUCUUCGGAAAUGAGAGAGCGGCGUACGGGUGCGGAACACGUGUGCAACCUGCCUUUAUCUGGGGGAUAGCCUUUCGAAAGGAAGAUUAAUACUCCAUAACAUAUUGAUUGGCAUCAAUUAAUAUUGAAAGCUCCGGCGGAUAGAGAUGGGCACGCGCAAGAUUAGCUAGUUGGUGAGGUAACGGCUCACCAAGGCGAUGAUCUUUAGGGGGCCUGAGAGGGUGAUCCCCCACACUGGUACUGAGACACGGACCAGACUCCUACGGGAGGCAGCAGUGAGGAAUAUUGGUCAAUGGGUGCAAGCCUGAACCAGCCAUCCCGCGUGAAGGACGACUGCCCUAUGGGUUGUAAACUUCUUUUGUAUAGGGAUAAACCUACCCUCGUGAGGGUAGCUGAAGGUACUAUACGAAUAAGCACCGGCUAACUCCGUGCCAGCAGCCGCGGUAAUACGGAGGGUGCAAGCGUUAUCCGGAUUUAUUGGGUUUAAAGGGUCCGUAGGCGGACUUAUAAGUCAGUGGUGAAAGCCUGUCGCUUAACGAUAGAACUGCCAUUGAUACUGUAAGUCUUGAGUAUAUUUGAGGUAGCUGGAAUAAGUAGUGUAGCGGUGAAAUGCAUAGAUAUUACUUAGAACACCAGUUGCGAAGGCAGGUUACCAAGAUAUAACUGACGCUGAGGGACGAAAGCGUGGGGAGCGAACAGGAUUAGAUACCCUGGUAGUCCACGCCGUAAACGAUGCUAACUCGUUUUUGGGCUUUAGGGUUCAGAGACCAAGCGAAAGUGAUAAGUUAGCCACCUGGGGAGUACGCUCGCAGGAGUGAAACUCAAAGGAAUUGACGGGGGCCCGCACAAGCGGUGGAUUAUGUGGUUUAAUUCGAUGAUACGCGAGGAACCUUACCAAGACUUAAAUGGGAAUUGACAGCUUUAGAAAUAGAGCUUUCUUCGGACAAUUUUCAAGGUGCUGCAUGGUUGUCGUCAGCUCGUGCCGUGAGGUGUUAGGUUAAGUCCUGCAACGAGCGCAACCCCUGUCACUAGUUGCCAUCAUUCAGUUGGGGACUCUAGUGAGACUGCCUACGCAAGUAGAGAGGAAGGUGGGGAUGACGUCAAAUCAUCACGGCCCUUACGUCUUGGGCCACACACGUAAUACAAUGGCCGGUACAGAGGGCAGCUACACAGCGAUGUGAUGCAAAUCUCGAAAGCCGGUCUCAGUUCGGAUUGGAGUCUGCAACUCGACUCUAUGAAGCUGGAAUCGCUAGUAAUCGCGCAUCAGCCAUGGCGCGGUGAAUACGUUCCCGGGCCU